Long non-coding RNA from Megalobrama amblycephala (Wuchang bream), 2296 nucleotides. RefSeq lists it as uncharacterized. The record is from RefSeq and is a predicted model, not a curated record. Lineage: Eukaryota; Metazoa; Chordata; Actinopteri; Cypriniformes; Xenocyprididae. The transcript has 3 exons.
CUUGUGGGCAAUCAUAGAAUGACUCUUAUUAUUUACACAGACAUGGUGUUAAACUGCCUUAUUUUGUGGUUAAAUUUUAUACUUAUAAAGAUUGUUAUUGCAUGAUAAUUGUUUGAUAAACAUUGAGCAUGAUAAAUGAUAAGACUUUGUCUUCAGUAAACGCUUUAAUGAGAUUCUGUAGUCUGGGGUGAAUUCUUCAAGUUAGAAAUCAUACAGUUCGACUGCAGGGGUUUGAAUUGACCUGAAUCAAUACUAAAAUUUAAAACCUCAGUGACAAUUAUUAUUAUUAUUUUGUUAAAAGUUUGGCAUAUUGCAUAAAUUGUGUUUUACUGAAAAGCUUAUAUUGAAAUAUUCUACAUUCUACCAAUGAUAAAACUGCUAGACGGUAAGAUUUGUGAAGGAGGGCCACUGAGUUGUGUUUAAAAUCACUACGAUAUAGUGGUUUUCAAUUUGCAUAACACUGACUGUAAAAUAUGUAUUUUAGGUAUGGGAAUGACAUAUUUUGAGUUUUGAUAUUUGGUAUCAUUUCCAAACAUCAAUGAUCUGAUCUGAUAUUUCACUCAAAGUGAUCAGAUUCUAACAUUAUUUCUCCUGUGUUUUCAGGCUCUUCUCUGAUCAUCCCUCUGGUUCUGUUUUUUCUGGUUCUGAUCACAGCUGGACUCUUAUUACUGUUUUUCUGUAAGAAGCGUCAGUCUCAAGGCGGUGAUUCGUCAUCUCAGACUGGACCAAGAAAACAUGAAGUGGUUUCUCACACUGGUUGUGAUUAUGAGGAGAUUAAAGACGCUCACAAACAAUUACCCACAAACCCCUCUGAUUAUUCUAACUGCGUUUACGCUACAGUUCAGAAAGCCACUGGUGACUCUCAGUGCUGCAUCACAUCUGCUGAGGAUCUGAAUUACGCAGUGGUGAAUUUCCACAAGAAAUCUGACUGUCCUGACAGUGUCAGUAGCAGGAAUAAUCAGGAUUACAGUGAAUACGCUACUGUCAAUCAUCUCACUGCUUGACCAACAACAGCAGAGAAUAUAAAUGAGCUGAAUGUUUUAUCACCUUGUCUUUGGCAUUAAGUUUGCGUGUUUGGUGUUUCUUGUAAGUCUUCAGUGAUGCUCCUUUUCCUUAUAUUUUAGUCAGUCUUGUGAAUCAGACUUUUGACUGUUGGCAUGAAGUCUGAUGAAUGUUUAAAUUACAGCGCAGUGUUUUGUUCUGCAGACGACAAUGAAAGAAAUGAUCAGAAGCUUUUGGUCAGAGUUUGAUAUAAAUAAGUACUGAAUGUUUCAGACAAAAGUGUAAAAUUAAAGCAGAAUAUACAGCUGUGUUCUAAUUUAUAAAGCUAACAAACUUUAGCACAUGCAGCAACUGUUGUUUUUUUCUCUCAGUUCUCAUUUUAACAGAUAACUUAACCUGAUAACUUAAAAACCCCAGAUGAGGUUGUGAUAUUGUUUGCAAAUGUAAUAUGCAUGAAUUAUGGAAAGCUGAAAUGCACAUAAAAGCACAAUGUCUGAGCUUUAUGAGUGUCCAUUGUGAAGCCUGAGGUCUUUUUAGCUUUUGCUCUAAAAAUGUUUAUUCCAGAAAAUUGACUCCCCACUGAUGUAAUUGUAAUGUAACAGAGACUCGUUCGAACUCAGGUUGUUAUUAUGCCUCUCCCUCUUUCUCAUUUGGGGUUCAGUAGAUUUAGUUUAGCGCUCUGAUAUUUUUACUAAAGGUAAAGGGGGAGUGGAACAUCUCAAUAUUUAAGCCCUUUCUCUAGCUGAAGACGCUGCAUGUGGUGUCGUCAGUGGGGCCUGAGUGCUAUAGUCACCACACCACAUGUGCUGAACAAACAAGUCCGAUCCAUGGAGGCUCCACCUCACAACUUACAGGACUUACAGGAACUUACAGGACUUUAUGGAUCCGGUGACACAUGUGCAUUCAUUGACUUGAAGAAGUCUUACUUGGUUGGUUGUGAUCAUAUGUUUUCCAUCUCCAAGAGAAGAAUAUGCUGGAAGGAACACCAUCGUGAAAUGAUGCUCAAACCACUCUUGUACUGGAGCUGAAUGGUGAAAGUGGAAAUUGUCCCACAACUACACAAUUUCGCUCAGUUUGCUCCUGAUCACUCUGUGGAAAGUUGAUUUCAUUGAGGGAGUUUAAACAAUUUAGAAGCCUUUCUGUGUUUUGCGACCCCAAGACAGCGUUGUGUGUAUUAAAAAUGUAUGUGUAUAUAUAUGCAAAAGCCUCUAAGUGCCAUCUGAAAUUUUCUUCUAAAAUGAGCAUUUUUAUCAAGCUCGUAUAGGUCAUUUUCAUUGCCAUUAAAGUGUAAUAA